UUCUGGGAAAAAGGAUGAGAUGAAAAAGCAGCCUCCUCGCUAUGAAAAGCAGCAUUAGCGCAUCCCGACCUCUGCUGAACCCGGCUGCGGACUACGUGUGAAUCUAUUCCGACCACGGCGCCGAGUGCCGUGAAUAAGUUACAUGGAAUCACAAGUCAGCGCCGAGGAGAAGUUAAGAGCCUGAUAAGCCUUUAUCUGCUAGCCGUCAGCGCAGUGGAAGCCAAACGGAGCUGAACACUCGCUUCCAAAGAAGAAGACAUGCAGUAUGGGGAGUUGGUCCUCCAAGUGCUCUGUGGGAACCAAGGUCCAUUCACCCAAGAGAACAUGAGUGGGGUCAGAGGUCACAUGCAGUACUCACAGAAAGAUUUCUUUCUCAUACUUCUUCCUGUGUCGGGCGCGGCAACAGCAGAAGAUGAUGAUGGCAAUAACGAUGAGCAUCAGCAGCACAGCAAUUAUGGCUCCUGCGAUGAUGCCAGCAGUAUUGGGAGCUGAGCACAGCGAAAGAGAAAGAGUUGAAAGGUUUGGUAAGGACUAAGCGACGGCCCCUACUGCAACAUUGGCCAAUAUCAAUCCGAUACGUUGAUAUGUUCUAGUAGUAGAUCCGUACGCUUGUACAGUCAUGGCCAAAAGUUUUGAGAAUGACACAAUUAUUGCUUUUCACAAAGUUUGCUGCUUCCGUGUUUUUAGAUCUUUUUGUCAGCUGUUACUGUGUUGUUCCCCAGGCCACUUAGUUAUCACUUCUGCAUUUGGAAAAGGCAUUGUUCGCCACUAAACUGUUCUUAAAUGGUUGGGAGAAGUUGCUUUUGGAGGCUGUUUUGGUACCAUUCUUUAUUCAUUGCUGUGCUCUUAGGCAAAAUUGUGAGUCAGCCCACUCCCUUGGCUGAGAAGUAACCCCACACAUGAGUGAUUUCAGGAUGCUUUACCGCUGGCGUGACGCAGGACCUGGUGGUAGCCUUUUUCAUCUCUGGAACAGCUCUUUUCUGGAUGCCCCAAACAAUCAGAAAGGGGAUAUAUAAGAGAAAAUGGUUUUACCCGAGAAUACCAGACUGUCCCUGAUGUUUUUCCUGGAGAGAAGUGGCUUCUAUGCACCUUUCUCGACACCAGGCCGUCUUCCAAGAGCCUUUGCCUCACUGUGCGAGCAUAUGCCCUCACGCCUGCCAGCUACCGUUCCUGAGCAAGCGCUGCACCGGUGGUGGCCCGAUCCCGCAGCUAAAUCAACUUUGGCCAAAAUUCAGACGCUUGCGGUACUUUCUUGGGCGCCCUGAAGCCUUCUUCGUAGUCAUUGAACGUCUCUCCUUGAAGUUCUUAAUGAGCUGAGAAAUGUUUGGUUUAGGUGCCACCCUACAGCAGCACUAUCCUUGCCUGGGAAGACCUUUUUGUGCUCAGUAAUGAUGACCGCACGUGUUUCCUUGCAGGUAACCAUGGUUAACAGAGGGAAAACAACAAUUUCAAGCACCACCCUGUUUUUUUAAAGCUUCCAGUCUGUUAUUCCCACUCAAUCUGGAUGACAGAGGCAUCUCCAGCCUUGGUCCUUGCCAACACUCUCACCUACUGUAUGUUAUCCAGUCAGUCACUAACAUGAUGUCAGCUUUUGUGGCAGGGCUGUAAUGCAGUGGAAAUGUUUUGUUGGGACAAAGUUAAUUUUCAUGACAAAAAGAGCCUUUGCAAUUAACUGCAAAAUCAUCUUUUCGCUCUUCAUAACAUUCUGGAGUAUAUGCAAAUUGUCGUAACAAAAACUGAGGCAGCAGACUUUGUGAAAAUUAAUAUUAGUGUCGUGACCGUACUUGAUAUAGACACCAUUUUCAAACAACAAACAGAAAUUAAAUCAAGUUAUUCAGUACUGCAGAUGUGUUUUAUUUCAUUGUUCAACGUGCAAUAUUGUGCUCGGUGUGAAAGUGUUGAGCAUAGAUAUACAGUAGUACAUAAUAGGACUUUCGCAGGAUACUCACGAGGUGUCACAUUGAGAUACAGGAUACACUCCUCAGUGCCAACCCGGUUGCUGGCAGUGCAGCGGUAUGUGCCAGAUGCUUUACCAGAUGCGUUCCUCACAUUCAUGGUGCCUCCCAUGGGGUCUGCAGCAAGGGCAAAUGACAGACCAUUACAGAAACACAGGUGCAACAGGAACUAAAAGGUGUGAAUGUGAUUUCGACAUUUUGAAUGUUGUUUGUGAAAGAGUCAUUACCCAUCAGAGCGGAAGCAGGCAGCACCUUGUUGUCACUGGUCUUCUCCCAGCUGUAUUGCAUGGGUUUGGUGCCCUCGUUGGACGCGCACCUUAAAAGGAUGUCUUUGCCGUCCUGUGUGGGUCCUUCUGCAUAGCACCUGGGCUUGGAUGGCUUCACUGGGGAGAAAAGGGAGGGUCUGUAUUGUGAAAUUCUUACAAAUUGUUUUCCAAAUCAGCAUAAUAAGAGUAAUCAGAGUAAUUGAUACAGCAGCUGUCAUUACAGAGGCUGUCACUCAGCAUAAUGAAGAUGAAGAAAGGAAACCAUGCGAUAUUGGACACUCAAAUGCGCGUGCGCACUUGUCAGGGUUUAGGAUAGAGGCACAGCUUUCCAUUCUAGAGUGGAAUGUGUGCAAACCCUCUUCGGUCAGUUCUGAGUGCUGGCAGGAGAUGAGAUGGGGAAUUCAAAAACAAAUACCGCUCCAAAUUAAAAGCAGACCCACUCCAGUGAAACCCAGACACACCGUUAGCCAGGCGUGGGGGUGGGGAGAGAAAGAGAGAGAAAAAACUUGCCAAAAACCGAGCUUGUGCCGCGUUCUCUGACAGAGUGGACAUCACGGUGUGGUAAUGUGUUCAAACAAGAGCAAGGAAUGUUGCUCUCCAGAUGAGAACCCGGUGUCAUGCUGAAGAGCAGCGCCUCGCUGCCAGGCUGAACAGUAGACUGACGGUGCUGAGGGCUCCCAGUAAUAUCAUAAACACACACUGGAUCAGGGCAGACAGUAAAAAUAAUAAUAAUAAUAAUAAAUGAGGGAGUGCUGAUGGACAGAUGGUAGUGCGAUGGAGGCCAAGGCUGUGCUCCUGUGUGCGCACACACACACACACACACACACACACACACACACACACACACACACACACACACACAAGUAGACUACACACGAUAAAUGUCAGGGAGUGAUGGCAUUCUAAACACAUCCUUUAAAAGGGUGAAAGUGGUCACGUCAAAAGGCUGUGGACCAUCUAACCAGCAGAUUUAUUUGUUUGUGAGAUGAGGUUGAAGAUGGUGACAGAGGCUGGAGAGAUAAAGAAUAAAUAAACAGCCUAUAUAUGUUUCACCUUUGUGAUAAAAAUGUGAUAUUUUCAAAAGAUGAGAAAUGCAAUAAAUCAUUCUAAGUGCUGCAUAGAGCAGUGGUAGUUUGUCCAAAUGGUGUGGCAGCAGAUCUGGUUGGUAUUAUGUUAUUUAUAUACAAAACAAAACAGUGAAAGCACUGUUGUGGUUGUAGCCCUGUUUCCAAGUAUUAGCAAGCUAACAAGCUGCUAACAAGGAUGUUUUGUGUUACAACAAUUGGGCUCACGCAGUGUUUUUAAUAACACGACACGAUGCUUGCCAUAUUGUAACAUAGCCAUAUGGUACACUAACUAGAAACACGCUAACCAGGACGUACCUGACGUACCCGAGGUUCCACCAUAUUCUGUAACAGCGGUGGUCCCUCAGGUGCUGUGCUUAUUUAGGAAUUUAUCCCGCGCCCGCAUUAGAUUACUUAACAACCCAUCAUUGACAUUUAUACAUUAAUUCAUAAUUAUUCACAUUUGCAUCUAUUAAAAAAAGCGUCAUCUUACGUAUCAUCACUUAUCACUUAUCAUCACAUCAAUUAAGCUGCGCUUGAGCACCACAACGUGGAUGUCAUUCGCCAUCAAAGACUACUUCAGUGUUGUUUUUCUUAUACUUUUGACAGUGGUUGACAUCUUUGUGAAACUGUGAAAAACGGAAACGUCACGACAACCAUGCGCAUUCUGUGACUUAAGGUCUGACAUCUGACUUCAGCUGUAUUUCUAUGACUUUCUGUGAGAUGAAAGCUUCAAAAUGAACCUUUACUCAACCGUGUGUGUAGGAAGAGACGUCGUCAGAGAAAAUAAACAAUGGAGAGUGUCGCUGACAUGCAGUGCUGAGAUGCAGGUGACAACUCUUGUCCUCUUAACUUCAUUGUCCAGCUGCAAGCCAACGAGGGAUGCUUCCUCCUGUACAGCACCUGAACACGGGAGAGCGUUUGCCCUCACGGUGCCAGCAUGUGUGUUAUUCCUGAAUGCAGCAGCACAUGUGACAGGGUAAAGCAACGCCUGCUGCAUAUAUUAGCAAAGACGUGUGUUUGUGUUCCCGGGACCAUCCGCCCUGUGACAAGAUCAACCUGAAGGUAAAAUGCAGAGCAGGCAGCAAGUUGUCCUCGCCUCUCCUUGUCAAUGCGUCUUUGCUAAGAACAUCCCCCGGCCCUGGGGUCAAUAGCUAGCAGCCUGUCAGAGAUGUAGCCUCCAGCUAUCCUUCCUCUUCUCGCUCUCUGUCACAUGCACUACAGCUGGAGAUGCCAGCAUAUUAACCACGAUCAGAGCUGGGUCGCAUUUAGCUGAUGUGCUUCGCCUUCGCCGCUGUGGCUUCUAACUACGGUAAAUCCAAGGGCACGAGGACCAGUAGGCGCACUGCGAAUACUGUAGCACUGCAGAUAUCAUAUGUUUUGCUGUUUCAGGACAGUCGGCCUACAAAAUCUUGCGAAAUAAAUACAGCACAACCUCGACGUUGCAGCUCAGGCCACUAGUUUUUCAUUUCCUUAGUCAUCUGUGAAAGCGGACCUAUUAUCUUUGUUUUUGAAGUGGGGGGUCUACGGUACACCCAAACGUGAGCUGCUUUUAGUCUUAAUGAUACAGUAGGUAGGGCUGCGAGUACCUCCUACUUUCUUAGUCGAUCAAUCUGAAGCUUGCUGCUUUAGAUUACUCGAGUCAUCGGAUAGGCCCGAGACCAGGGAUGUAAAAAGCUUUUCCCAGCGAGCAUUGAAAGACAAAACAGCCUGCAUCUCACUUUGUGUUCUAGAAGACAAAGCUUAUUAACGACUUUUUCCUCCUCUGCUCAUUUUUCCAUUUUUGCUGUUGUUGCUUUUCAAUUUUACAAAUAUUUCAUCACUGAUUUUUUUCAAGAACAUUGUGACUUUAAGAAUAAUAAUUAAUAGUUUGACUAUUUUCGUAAUAGUCCAAUUUUUUCACAACUUCAUUUUCCAAAAAUGUCAACU
Molecule: long non-coding RNA, 5214 nt
Organism: Dunckerocampus dactyliophorus (ringed pipefish)
Lineage: Eukaryota; Metazoa; Chordata; Actinopteri; Syngnathiformes; Syngnathidae
Exons: 3
Source: RefSeq, a predicted model, not a curated record